Long non-coding RNA from Episyrphus balteatus (marmalade hoverfly), 1025 nucleotides. RefSeq lists it as uncharacterized. The record is from RefSeq and is a predicted model, not a curated record. NCBI's taxonomy places the organism in Eukaryota, Metazoa, Arthropoda, Insecta, Diptera, Syrphidae. The transcript has 4 exons.
UAUUUGCAGAAAUUGUCAAAGGAAUUUUGUUUACCAAGAAUAAAAAGAUGAUCUAUCAGCGGCAAUCUCUCUUAUAAAUAAAUAUUUUUUCCAAAUUGCCCAGUGAUACAUCGACCAAACUAACUCCAUUAUCGAGAUGUGCAGAGACAAAGCGUUGCGAAAAAGUUAUGUAUCAAUAUACACUUCGUUUGCCUAUAAAUUCGUCUUUAAAAUAUGACAUAGUGGGAUUACCAAUGCCAACUGAAAUCCUUGCAAGACUAAUGGUAGCCCUUCAGGCAUAUCGAGAGUUGCAUAAAUGUGUGGAGAACUGGACAACACCUUGCAACCAAUUAGGCAAGAAGGAUUUAAAGCAUUCGAGUCUGAUUGGGAGGAGUUGGAAUUAGAAAAAAUUGACGAGUAAGUUUUUACAUAUAAUGCAGGAUCAUGGCCUGGUGUAUAACCAAACGUCGCUAAUAUUAUUACAAACGAAUUGCAUCAGAGUUUUACAAUUGUCGACCUACUGCUGGUGCUGUAUCCUAUUUAUACAUUCCUGAAGAACAAAAUACUCGCGGGCGAAAAAUUUAUCCGCUUCUUUGUAAAAUAUCGCAUUACAAUUCAAAAUGCUAAUCAACCUCUGCUCGAUGUUAAUCAUACGAUUGCCAGAUUUAAUUUCCUUACCCCUCGAUAUGUAAACAGAAAAGAAAAAGCUUUACCAAGAAAGUUCGGAAGAAACCAAACGCGCAAAAAGAGAAAAUCUAGAAACAAGUGCCGGAACUUUCUACAGUUCAUCCAUUUCCUACUUCUUUGUGGCGAACAGCUGUUCGUUUGCCAUGCAUUCUACAUCGAGUCAAUUGACUUUGACUGUCCGAAGUGCCAAUGACUUAAAUCUUCUCUAUUGGAAACAUAGGUGACAGUAUUAUUAUUAUGCCCUUAAAUUAUUUUAGUCAAAAAAUUAGCGGUGCAUUACGUAUUCUUUUACAAGAAUUUCAAGUUUCUUUUGUAAAUCUUGUUUUAACUAUGAUAACAAAAACAACACAUUUGAUAUU